ACGGGUACAUGCGUCAUGCAAAACAUCGUUGUUAUGACAACAGUGAAAAUGGCAAAGAGACACGCUUAUCAAGCACAGUUCAAACUGAAGGCCAUCAGUUGGAUUAUGUUUAUGUAUUCAUUUGUGAUAGCCAUAGUAUUCUUUUGUUCAGACAAGUUGCAAGGUCUUACCUUAGUAGCUUUCCCUGACAGUUUCGGCAGUAAAUUCCGCCUUCAUCAGAGAGUGAAGGCCAUCAGCUACGCGGAGGAGCAUGGAAAGCAGCAACACGAGCAGAAGAAAUGGAAAUUGAACAUUUUCAAGGAGCAAACGUAUCGCCGACAAACACAUCCAGCCCACCCAAAUUACCAACAUGGAAGAGGUGCCGCUCACUUUCGACAUCCCGGUGAAUCACACUGUGGAGAAGAAAGGGACCAAGACGAUGGGGAUACGCACAACGGGAUACGAAAAGUCUUCUUUUACUGUUGUGCUUGGCUGCCAUGCUAAUGGACAGAAACUGGUGAUUUUUAAGAGAAAGACUUUGCCUAAAGAGAGGUUUCCAGCAGGAGUCAUCAUUAAGGCAAAUGAAAAGGGCUGGAUGGAUGAGGAAAUGAUGACUGAGUGGCUGAGGGAGGGGUAUGUAAGGAGACCAAGUGUUUUUUCCACGCAUCACCAUCGCUGUUGAUCUGUGACUCUAUGCGUGCCCAUCUCACAGCCAAUGUGAAAGAACAAGUGAAGCAAAUGAACGCCGAACUUGUUGUCAUUCCGGCAGGCACGACAAAACAACUCCAACCGCAGGACAUCGGUGUGAACCGGCCGCUCAAAGUAAAGGUGCGAGCGACGUGGGAGCAAUGGAUGACCGAUGGAUAACCGACAGAGAGCAUAGUUUCACUGAGUGGAAGGCAGCGCCGGGCGAGUUACGCCACAAUUUGCGAAUGGAUUGUGUAUGCUUGGGCUAACAUGUCUGCUGGCACUGUUGUUCGAGCGUUCGUAAAAGCCGGCAUCAUAUCCGAGGAGCCACAUGGCACGGAAAGUAACUCUGACAGUCAGGGCUGUGGACUCGGGGACUCUGACUCGGUCAUUUUUGCCGGACACGGACUCGGUCCUGAUUUUGACCGAGUCCACCGAGUCAGACAAUAAAAAAAACGUUCAAUUUCAUUUUCAUCAUGCUGCUGAGAAUGCGCGUAGGAAUACUGUGUGUACAUGUUUAAUAUAUCCGUACAAUAUAUAUUUUGAAUCACUGUCUUUUGGGAUAAUCACACACACACACACACACACACACAGAGACACACACACACAGGCACACACUAAAAGGGAGGGCAGAGGCCACGCCCCCUUCUGCGUUUGUCGGCCGCCACCUCGCCAACCGACAGAUGAAGAAAUUGGGGCAAUGUUGGCACUUGGUCGAAUGAAAGAGAGCCCAUUUGUUACAGCUGAUCGUUAUCCGUUAGGCCUCAAGGCAGCGACUCGGACACUAACAGCAAUGCCAAUCAGCCAAGUCAGCGUAGAGCGCCUGUUUUCCGGGCUCAAGUUUAUCAUGUCUGAUCAGCGCCGCGCGAUGAAGGCUGACUUGGUUGAGGCGUUUUUGUUCCUAAGAACAAACUCAAGUCGUUGAAUUAAACUUGAAAGUAUCUGUUUAUUGUAUUCGUUUAUAUGUUUAAUAAAGACAAAGCCAUCACAAAACUGUUGUAAUUUAGAUUUUGAUCUAAAUCAGCCUUGAAUAAAGACUAAGUAGUCACACGAAUUAACAGAAAAAAUGGACAGCCGGACUCGGACUCAUGGUCAAGAGGCCGGACUCGGACUCGGUGCAAAAGUCCGACCGAGUCCACAGCCCUGCUGACAGUGAAGAAAGUGAACCUGGCAUGUCUGUUGGAGAUUUAGCGCUGCUGUUCAAUUCGGAAACAGAGGACGAGGACUUCGAUGGGUUUAAUUGAUGACCAUUACCGGCAAUGAAAAUGUGAAUACCAAACUCAGUUUUGCUCCCGCUUCAUUUUUAAAUACGCACACUUGUAUGCUUGUGUGUGUGCGUGUGUGUGGUUGUUGUUGUGGUUGCCAUGAGAAUGUUAAAGAGGAAAGUGUGGGCGUGGAUUUGCAGUGCGCCCCGUGUGGGGGUGAAGACAGGACAAGUUUGGUUAAUUAUUACAGGUUACAUUCCAACAUAAUCAUAGGACCAAACUAAUCUAUCAACCUUAACGGCUCCCGCUUCAUUUUUAAAUACGCACGCUUGUAUGCUUGUGUGUGUGUGUGUUGUUGUUGUUGUUGUUGCCAUGAGAACGUUAAAGGGGGAGGUGUGGGCGUGGAGUUGUAGUGCGUGUGUGUGUCUGUGUGUGUGCGUGUGUGUGUGUGUGUGUGCGCGCGUGUGUGUGUGUGUUUUUAGCGAUGGGGCCAAAAAAGGAUCAGGGAACGGCCGAUGCUUUCAAAGAAAUUAAAAAUCAACUGAAAACUCUGGGAACUCUGGAAAAAAAAAUAGCAGAGAACUCUGGACAUUCUUCAAGAGACUGGAGGGGAGAUCAGAGACAUUAAGAGGAGUAUAAUGGCAACUCGAUUGAUUGGAUUAGAAACCAAGAUGGAAGAAAUUGCACUUCUCGAAUGCCAUGAAAGACCAUCUGAUAAAAAUUCUCACUAGCAGAGUAGAAGAUAUUGACCGACAAUAUAAAAUUAAUAGGGGUGUAAAUCGCGGGUUUUGUCACGAUACGAUAUCAUAUCGAUACAAAGAUACACGAUACGAUAUCUGCCGAUAUCUUAAAGCCUGCUGUGAUUCAUUCACGAUACAUCACAAUAUAGUGCUCUACGAUCGAUAUUUUAAUUUUUUUUAAAUAAAAAAUAUAGAACAAUAUCCUGAUUUAUAACAAUUCAUACGCAAAAUCAACAAGGUACUGCAAACUCUUUAUUUAGGAAAUUACAAGAGUAUUGUAGUAUACAAAGUGCUUAUUUUAACACUGAACUUUGAUGUCAUGUUUUUUUUUUUAAUGUGCAGUGAGAUUUGCGGUCCCUGAAUAUUUGAUCACCGCAUGGCAGGAUUUACAAACUCCACGUGUCUUGUCCGUUGAGCCAUCUUUUCUUUGGAAUCCAAAGUGCUUCCAAACGAAUUACUUGAAGCCUAAAGGGGAGCAAAUUUCCUCGUCUUUUUGGACACUAGCCAAAGCACCAGCCCAGGAGCCGCGUACUAGUUUUCGACUCCCCUUUUACGUGCCUGCUCUGUAGGGAUGGGCGAUACCAAUGAUUUUGGAUUCGAUCCGAUACCAAGUAUUUCCUGCCCAAAAAUACCCGAUAUCGAUCCGAUAUCGAUACCGGAAGUGUAAUUUGCCGCCAAAAAAACAAUUUAAAUGCAGUGGCAUUCUUGCUCUUGGAGAGUCAUCUAUUGAAUUUUGUAGAAAAAAGUAUUACGUCAUGUACAUGAAUUAUUAACCUCUUUAGAAAACCAUUAAUGGAAGAUGCAUAUUAAUAGUAUAACUUUAAUUAAAAGGAGCUAUUCUUUACUUUUUUCUCUCUCUCUCUGUUGUUGGGAAAAAGUUUUGUCUUUUAGUAUAUUGUAAGAAGAGACAUGGCGGCAACUGGAGUUAGGGUGAGUGAAAAUCGUGUGGUACUACUGAGAUUUAUAAAUAUCAAGCACAAAGUUGCUCUACUGAAACAGGGAAAGCCUCCUGUUCAUCCGAUCCUCCAUGCAUCCCGCAAGCUUGUUGGCAGUUUCCGCGCUCACAUCUCUGGGGCACAGGUGAAUUUCAAAUGUGGAAUAUUCUAAGAACAUCACUGCUGUUCUGCAUUCUGAACCCACUUAGCCAACUGCCUACUGCCCGAUGACUGCUGGGAUAGGCUCCAGCACCCGGUAUAGAAGACGGUAUAGAAAAUGGAUGGAAUAUUUCUUAAAACAAGUUUUCAUCAAAUACAGUGAUUUGCCACCAGUGUUUCCUCUAAUUUUUCAAGUGUUUGUGCAAACACACAAGCUCCCUGUGCACACUGUGGACCACUGUGUGCAACAUGUCAGGGUUUUCCAAACUAUCUUGAUCGUAUGAUUAUGUUGGAAUGUAACCAGUAAUAAAUAACCUAGCUAGAUUAGCUUUAUGCUUAUGUUGGAAUGUAACCUGUAAUAACCUAGCUUGUCCCAUCCUACACGACGUCGUAAAACACCCCCUGCUAUGCUUUGACUAGAGGUCAAGGGCUUUCUCUUCUCUAUCCAGUCCACUGUCACCCCCACCCUGUUUCUCUUAAUAAAAAUGCUCUUGCAAGCGGCCAGAGUCAGACCUCAUUCCAUCAUCGCUGUACGCACAGCGAGGAAUGACUCUCCACCUGCAGGUGUCUAAAAGGACUUAAUUGUCGCCCAUGUGGUUCUUGCAAAAUAAGUUAGAGUGAGCACCACUCUAACACAACACCAGAUCAAUCAAUCAAUCAAUCAAGCAAUCAAUCAAUCAAUCAAUCAAUCAAUCAAUCAAUCAAUCAAUCAAUCAAUCAAUCAAUCAAUCAAUCAACCAACCAACCAAUCAAUCAAUCAAUCAAUCAAUCCCUUCCUGUGGACCACUGUGUGCAACACCAGAUCCCUCCCUCCCUACCUUCCUCCCUCCCUCCCUCAGCAUCCUCCUGCUGGCACCCACUUUGUUUGGGAUAUUCUUCUCUCUCCUCCUGCGCCAAGCCUUUGGAACAUCAACUGCGGGAGUUUACUUACACACCAGGACAGACAGCAAACUAUUCAACCGUCUGAGAGCCAAAACCAAGGUCUGACCAUUCACCAUUCGGGACAUGUUGUUUGCUGAUGAUGCAGCAUUGGCAACACACACUAAGGAACACCUGCAGAUUCUCCUAGACCGGUUCAGCCAAGCAUGUCAGGACUUCAACCUGACCAUCAGCCUAAACAAAACCAAGACAAUGGGCCAGGGGAUCACUGUCCCACCCUCCAUCACCAUCAACAACUACACACUGGAAGCUGUAAGCAGCUUUAUCUAUCUUGGGUCUACCAUCACCUGCAAUUUGUCACUCGAUGCCGAGGUCAGCAGCCGGAUUGGGAAAGCAGCUUCUACGUUUGGAAAACUGACACCCAGAGUAUGGCAGAACAGCAAGAUCACCAUCCAUACAAAAGGUGCAAGUGUACAGGGCCUGUGUUGUCAGUACACUCUUGUAUGGCAGCGAAGCCUGGACUCUUUAUGCACAUCAAAAGAGAAGGCCUAACUCUUUCCAUCUGCGUUGCCUGAGACGCAUACUGGGCAUCACCUGGCGGGACAGGAUUACAGACAGUGCAGUCCUGGAGAGUGCACAGCUCCCCACUAUGCUCUCCCUGCUGAAGCAGUGGCAUCUCCGUUGGCUGGGCCAUGUCUGUUGGAUGGAAGACGGUCGGAUGCCAAAGGACAUCUUAUAUGCAGAGCUAAAAUCAGGCAAAAGGCAAGUAAGCUGCCCACUGCUCCGCUACAAGGAUGUCUGCAAACAAGACCUCAAAUCCUUCAACAUCAACCCAGCCACCUGGGAAGACGUCGCCCAGGAUCGCCACAAAUGGCAACAGCCCACCCUGGCUCAACAUCGAGAAACGAAAAGAAAGUUGAGGAAGCAGCAAGCCACCAUGCCCUCACCUUAACCGGAUCCGGCCCACACCUGUAACAUCUGCGGCCAUGUCUGUCUCUCACGGAUUGGACUCACCAGCAACAGCAGACGCUGUGCAAAGAACACCUAACCUCCAGACACAAGAAAUCUAUGGUCUUUCGAGACUGUGAUACCGAUGAGUUGAUGAGCAGGAACAGGUGUGGGUGAUUGACUUAAUGGAAGGGCCGUGGCUGUGAAUGGUAUCCAUGGUGAUUGAGUGACGGAGUACCGGCUGGUGACAAGUGGCACGGCAUAUGACAGCACCAAAACAAUUGCACCUGCAAUUACAGAGAUAGGUGGCAAAGUGUUGACACAGGGGUGUACGCAUUUUUCAUUCUCUAAUAUGCAUACAUUUUUGAAAAUUAUUUAUCAUUUUGAUCCCCCUUCUUGAUUGUGGGCUAAUUUGUAGGUUAGUCAUAAAAAAACAUUUUAAAAAAAAGAACACUGACGUUUUCGAUUGUGAAGUUUUAAAAGAUUAUUGAUACUUUUUCAAGACACUGUAGGUACAGUGCCUUGCAAAAGUAUUCGGCCCCCUUGAACCUUUCAACAUUUCGCCACAUUUCAGGCUUCAAACAAAGAUAUAAAAUUGAUUUUUUUUGUCAAGAAUCAACAACAAGUGGGACACAAUUGUGAAGUGGAACGAAAUUGAUUAGCUGAUUUAAACUUUUUUAACAAAUAAAAAACCUAAAAGUUGGGCGUGCAAUACUAUUCGGCCCCCUUGCGCUAAUACUUUGUGGCGCCACCUUUUGCUGCAAUUACAGCUGCAAGUCGCUUGGGGUUUGUCUUUAUCAGUUUUGCACAUUGAGAGACUGUAAUUCUUGCCCAUUCUUCCUUGCAAAACAGCUCGAGCUCAGUGAGGUUGGAUGGAGAGCGUUUGUGAACAGCAGUCUUCAGCUCUUUCCACAGAUUCUCGAUUGGAUUCAGGUCUGGACUGACUUGGCCCUUCUAACACCUGGAUACGUCUAUUUGUGAACCAUUCCAUUGUAGAUUUGGCUUUAUGUUUUGGAUCAUUGUCCUGUUGGAAGAUAAAUCUCCGUCCCAGUCUCAAGUCUUUUGCAGACUCCAAGAGGUUUUCUUCCAGAAUGGUCCUGUAUUUGGCGCCAUCCAUCUUCCCAUCAAUUUUAGCCAUCUUCUCUGUCCAUGCUGAAGGAAAGCAGGCCCAAACCAUGAUGCUGCCACCACCAUGUUUGACAGUGGGGAUGGUGCGUUCAGGGUGAUGAGCUGUGUUGCUUUUACGCCAAACAUAUCGUUUUGCAUUGUGGUCAAAAAGUUAGAUUUUGGUUUCAUCUGACCAGAGCACCUUCUUCCACAUGUUUGGUGUCUCCCAGGUGGCUUGUGGCAAACUUUAAACGAGACUUUUUAUGGAUAUCUUUGAGAAAUGGCUUUCUUCUUGCCACUCUUCCAUAAAGGCCAGAUUUGUGCAGUACAGGACUGAUUGUUGUCCUAUGGCCAGACUCUCCCACCUCAGCUGUAGUUAUCUGCAGUUCGUCCAGAGCAGGGGUCACCAAACUACGGCCCGCGGGCCGGAUACGGCCCGCGGGACCGUUUAAUCUGGCCCGCCAACCCUGAAUAAAUUGUAUUAUUAAACUUUUUUUUUUUUUUUGCUCAUUUUGCCUGCAAUGACUGCGUUUCCCCAGUAGAUGGGGAAGCGCUCGCCUGCGCAUUUACUACCGGAAGCCGUGUCAGAAAGCUCGGUGCACACUCACAAGUGCGUGUACGGACAUGGCGCACUCGCGCUCUAUUUGUAUCAGUCCCGAAUUUAGAGCGUGGGCUGUGACGACAGCAUUCUUGUAAUUUGCGCGCUGAGCUUUCAGAUGCAGUUUUGCGCUAAAGCCACCCACAAACCUUCCCCUGGAAUCCUUCCGUUAAAAUGUCGCCCAAGUAAAGCAGUGCCGAGCGUUUAAAAGAGUUGCCAAUUUGGCUCGACGUACGCGACGUGACGUUCAGCCACAUGAACGUCAACAUCUACCCGUCACAGAUCGAGGUAAACGGACCAACACCUCGGAUCUCGCCUAAGAAUUGCCACAACAAAUUUUACUCCAGACUAUGACGCACUAUCAAACUUUAACAAAAAAGACAGCAGUGUCUACAAGCCUACUGGAACCUACAAAAGGAUUAUAAGGAAGGAACACAAGAACUUUAAGAGACUGCUCAUAUGUGUCAGAGAGGUUCUGCUCUGACAACUGAGCUGAACUUUUAUCUGUUAAGAUUGUGCAUGGCACAACAGAAAGUUAAUGUUCCAUGUUUUUUUUUCUAUGAAGAACCCAGAGAGAGUUAUUUAGUUAUUUAUUUCCUGUUUUUUCUGUGAAGAACUCAGAGAGGGUUUAGUUAUUAUUUAUUUCAUUAAUAGUGUUAUUAUUUGUUUCCUGACUUUUUUUCUGUAAAGAACCUGGAAAGGGUUAUUAAAUAACCGUUAUUUGGUUAUGUGUGGCUUUCUGGAAAACAAUAAUUUUUUUAAGCUCCCCUACGAUCGUCACACUUUUUCUGUUACAAACUGCCACCGGCCCGCCAUCAGAGAAGGGAAAGGUUAUGUGGCCCUCACAGGAAAAAGUUUGGGGACCCCUGGUCCAGAGUGAUCAUGGGCCUCUUGGCUGCAUCUCUGAUCAGUCUUCUCCUUGUUUGAGAUGAAAGUUUGGAGGGACUGCCGGGUCUUGGUAGAUUAGCAGUGGUCUGAUACUCCUUCCAUUUCAAUAUAAUUGCUUGCACAGUGCUCCUUGAGAUGUUUAAAGCUUGGGAAAUCAUUUUGUAUCCAAAUCCGGCUUUAUAUUUCUCCACAACAGUAUCUCGGACAUGCCUGGUGUGUUCCUUUGUCUUCAUGGUACUCUCUGCGCUUUAAACAGAACCCUGAGACUAUCAAAGAGCAGGUGCAUUUCUACGGAGACUUGAUUACACACAGGUCCAUUCUAUUUAUCAUCAUCAGUCAUUUAGGACAACAUUGGAUCAUUCAAAGAUCCUCACUGAACUUCUGGAGUGAGUUUGCUGCACUGAAAGUAAAGGGGCCGAAUAAUAUUGCACGCCCCACUUUUCAGUU
Long non-coding RNA from Syngnathus typhle (broad-nosed pipefish), 8572 nucleotides. RefSeq lists it as uncharacterized. Lineage: Eukaryota; Metazoa; Chordata; Actinopteri; Syngnathiformes; Syngnathidae. The transcript is spliced from 2 exons. The record is from RefSeq and is a predicted model, not a curated record.